This 564-nucleotide ribosomal RNA is filed under the name Massilia sp. 44AAV. Its description in RNAcentral is "bacterial SSU rRNA". It matches the Rfam family "Bacterial small subunit ribosomal RNA", at positions 61 to 620 of the family's 1533-position model. Lineage: Bacteria; Pseudomonadati; Pseudomonadota; Betaproteobacteria; Burkholderiales; Oxalobacteraceae. The record is from RNAcentral.
GUCGAACGGUAACAGGGAGCUUGCUCCGCUGACGAGUGGCGAACGGGUGAGUAAUAUAUCGGAACGUACCCAAGAGUGGGGGAUAACGUAGCGAAAGUUACGCUAAUACCGCAUACGAUCUAAGGAUGAAAGCAGGGGAUCUUCGGACCUUGUGCUCCUGGAGCGGCCGAUAUCUGAUUAGCUAGUUGGUGAGGUAAAGGCUCACCAAGGCGACGAUCAGUAGCUGGUCUGAGAGGACGACCAGCCACACUGGAACUGAGACACGGUCCAGACUCCUACGGGAGGCAGCAGUGGGGAAUUUUGGACAAUGGGCGCAAGCCUGAUCCAGCAAUGCCGCGUGAGUGAAGAAGGCCUUCGGGUUGUAAAGCUCUUUUGUCAGGGAAGAAACGGUGGAGGCUAAUAUCCUUCGCUAAUGACGGUACCUGAAGAAUAAGCACCGGCUAACUACGUGCCAGCAGCCGCGGUAAUACGUAGGGUGCAAGCGUUAAUCGGAAUUACUGGGCGUAAAGCGUGCGCAGGCGGUUUUGUAAGUCUGUCGUGAAAUCCCCGGGCUCAACCUGGGAA